AACAGGAUUAGAUACCCUGGUAGUCCACGCCGUAAACGAUGAUUGCUAGCUGUCCCGGGAACUUGGUUUUUGGGUGGCUCAACUUACGCAUUAAGUUAUCCCGCCUGGGGAGUACGGCCGCAAGGUUAAAACUCAAAUGAAUUGACGGGGGACUGCACAAGCGGUGGAGCAUGUGGUUUAAUUCGAAGCAACGCGCAGAACCUUACCAGCGUUUGACAUGUCCGGACGAUUUCCAGAGAUGUAUCUCUUCCCUUCGGGGACUGGAACACAGGUGCUGCAUGGCUGUCGCCAGCUCGUGUCGUGAGAAGUUGGGUUAAGUCCCGCAACGAGCGCAACCCUCGCCUUUAGUUACCAUCAUUCAGUUGGGUACUCUAAAGGAACCGCCGGUGAUAAGCCGGAGGAAGGUGGGGAUGACGUCAAGUCCUCAUGGCCCUUAUGGGACUGGGCUCACACACGUGCUACAAUGGCAAUUACAAUGGGAAGCAAGGCUGUAAGGCGGAGCGAAUCCGGAAAGAUUGCCUCAGUUCGGAUUGUUCUCUGCAACUCGGGAGACAUGAAGUUGGAAUCGCUAGUAAUCGCGGAUCAGCAUGCCGCGGUGAAUACGUUCCCAGGCCUUGUACACACCCCCCGUCACACCACGGGAGUUGGAUUCACCCGAAGGCGUUGCGCUAAAUCGCAAGAGAGGCAGGCGACCACGGUGGGGUCAGCGACUGGGGUGACGUCGUAACAAGGUAACC
This 737-nucleotide ribosomal RNA is filed under the name uncultured Sphingomonas sp. RNAcentral's name for it is "bacterial SSU rRNA". It matches the Rfam family "Bacterial small subunit ribosomal RNA", at positions 771 to 1501 of the family's 1533-position model. Lineage: Bacteria; Pseudomonadati; Pseudomonadota; Alphaproteobacteria; Sphingomonadales; Sphingomonadaceae. The record is from RNAcentral.